AUCUAAGCUGCAGACGAACUGUGAUUAAAUCUGGGACUCAUAUAUCCUAACAUAUACAAAAUUAUGAGUCCCAGUUUUAGUCACAGAUUCGUCUACGGCCUUAGAU
This 106-nucleotide microRNA precursor is filed under the name Picea abies (Norway spruce). Its description in RNAcentral is "miR11424 stem-loop (pab-MIR11424)". The record is from miRBase by way of RNAcentral. Lineage: Eukaryota; Viridiplantae; Streptophyta; Pinopsida; Pinales; Pinaceae.